This 723-nucleotide ribosomal RNA is filed under the name Tubeufia krabiensis. RNAcentral describes it as "SSU rRNA". It matches the Rfam family "Eukaryotic small subunit ribosomal RNA", at positions 71 to 804 of the family's 1831-position model. Lineage: Eukaryota; Fungi; Ascomycota; Dothideomycetes; Tubeufiales; Tubeufiaceae. The record is from RNAcentral.
GCAUUAUACAGCGAAACUGCGAAUGGCUCAUUAUAUAAGUUAUCGUUUAUUUGAUAGUACCUUACUACUUGGAUAACCGUGGUAAUUCUAGAGCUAAUACAUGCUAAAAAUCCCGACUUCGGAAGGGAUGUAUUUAUUAGAUUAAAAACCAAUGCCCUUCGGGGCUCUCUGGUGAUUCAUGAUAACUUCUCGAAUCGCACGGCCUUGUGCCGGCGAUGGUUCAUUCAAAUUUCUUCCCUAUCAACUUUCGAUGUUUGGGUCUUGGCCAAACAUGGUUGCAACGGGUAACGGAGGGUUAGGGCUCGACCCCGGAGAAGGAGCCUGAGAAACGGCUACUACAUCCAAGGAAGGCAGCAGGCGCGCAAAUUACCCAAUCCCGACUCGGGGAGGUAGUGACAAUAAAUACUGAUACAGGGCUCUUUUGGGUCUUGUAAUUGGAAUGAGUACAAUUUAAAUCCCUUAACGAGGAACAAUUGGAGGGCAAGUCUGGUGCCAGCAGCCGCGGUAAUUCCAGCUCCAAUAGCGUAUAUUAAAGUUGUUGUGGUUAAAAAGCUCGUAGUUGAACCUUGGGCCUGGCUGGCCGGUCCGCCUCACCGCGUGUACUGGUCCGGCCGGGUCUUUCCCCCUGUGGAACCCCAUGCCCUUCACUGGGUGUGGCGGGAAAACAGGACUUUUACUUUGAAAAAAUUAGAGUGCUCCAGGCAGGCCUAUGCUCGAAUACAU